Molecule: transfer RNA, 74 nt
Filed under: Chloroflexi bacterium ADurb.Bin180
Lineage: Bacteria; Bacillati; Chloroflexota
Also listed under: 1 other name
Description: tRNA-Gln
Rfam family: tRNA
About the family: Transfer RNA (tRNA) molecules are approximately 80 nucleotides in length. Their secondary structure includes four short double-helical elements and three loops (D, anti-codon, and T loops). Further hydrogen bonds mediate the characteristic L-shaped molecular structure. tRNAs have two regions of fundamental functional importance: the anti-codon, which is responsible for specific mRNA codon recognition, and the 3' end, to which the tRNAs corresponding amino acid is attached (by aminoacyl-tRNA synthetases). tRNAs cope with the degeneracy of the genetic code in two manners: having more than one tRNA (with a specific anti-codon) for a particular amino acid; and 'wobble' base-pairing, i.e. permitting non-standard base-pairing at the 3rd anti-codon position.
Source: RNAcentral
UGGGGGAUCGUCUAGCGGUAGGACAGCUGACUCUGGAUCAGCCAGCCGAGGUUCGAAUCCUCGUCCCCCAGCCA